AAUCAACGCUGGCGGCGUGCCUCAGACAUGCAAGUCGAACGAUUAAGACUCCCUUCGGGGAGUGCAUAAAGUGGCGCACGGGUGAGUAACACGUAAGUAAUCUACCCUCGAGUGGGGAAUAACAACCGGAAACGGUUGCUAAUACCGCAUAAUGCAGCGGCACCGCAAGGGGACAGUUGUUAAAGGAGUAAUCCGCUUGAGGAGGAGCUUGCGGCAGAUUAGCUAGUUGGUAAGGUAACGGCUUACCAAGGCUACGAUCUGUAUCCGGCCUGAGAGGGCGGUCGGACACACUGACACUGAAUAACGGGUCAGACUCCUACGGGAGGCAGCAGUCGGGAAUUUUGGGCAAUGGGCGAAAGCCUGACCCAGCAACGCCGCGUGAAGGAUGAAGUAUUUCGGUAUGUAAACUUCGAAAGAAUAGGAAGAAUAAAUGACGGUACUAUUUAUAAGCUCCGGCUAACUACGUGCCAGCCGCCGCGGUAA
This 483-nucleotide ribosomal RNA is filed under the name uncultured bacterium. Its description in RNAcentral is "partial 16S ribosomal RNA". It matches the Rfam family "Bacterial small subunit ribosomal RNA", at positions 32 to 523 of the family's 1533-position model. The record is from RNAcentral.